Molecule: long non-coding RNA, 785 nt
Filed under: Mytilus galloprovincialis (Mediterranean mussel)
Lineage: Eukaryota; Metazoa; Mollusca; Bivalvia; Mytilida; Mytilidae
Source: RNAcentral
GGGGCGUGUUUUUGUGUUCAAUUUCAGUAUCAUUUCUCCAUCGUCACGUGCUAGGUGACAUUUUCACCUGCGCUCAGGUAUGGUAUUAAUUAGGGUAAAAUUAACUCACCUCUUCUUCUGGAGUUGUAUUAACUGAGUCCAUACUCUGUGAUAACUGUAUUGUAGUCUCCGUGUUUAAAGAGGAACUCGGAACCUCUGGAGUUUGCCUCAUAUUCGAUGUUAGCAACAUUUGAUCAAAGUGAAAGUCACGGCACUAAUUAAAUAACUAUUAUUUUAAAGUAAAUAAAUUAAUACUGGUUUAGUAAAUAUACACACUGUGUCUCCACUCAAUAUAAAUUCCUAUGUUUAUUUAACGACUCUGAAUUGUUGAUUAACGUUAUAAUUUUAUCGUGAACCGAUAAUAUUUUGAAUAACAAAACGUGUGCUGAAAUAUCACUUUCGGUGUUGAAAUGUGCUAGUGCUGAAAGACUCGGGGGAAAUGUCUCGUGAAAAACUUCCGUCACCUACAUGUAUAUUUGCACGUGCUACACUUUUCCCCUUCAAAGUAAAACUACAUUCUGCUUUCAAACACUUGUGCUUUCAACAUAGUAUUUUGUUAUUUAAAUGCACGCGAAUUCACUGUGUACAAUAGUCACGUGGUUUCCCACAAUGCAAUCAACUAUUGGAAAAAUGACCUGUAACCCCGCCCCAUUGUUCUUAGUUAGGUUAGCAUAAAACUUAUUUAUUUUCACUAAAAAUCGAUUAUAGAUUGAAAUCGGAUCAUUUAAGACUAAUGCUUUUAUUUU